UACGUAGGUGGCAAGCGUUGUCCGGAUUUACUGGGCGUAAAGCGCGCGCAGGCGGUCGUUCAAGUCGCGUGUGAAAGCCCCCGGCUCAACUGGGGAGGGUCACGCGAUACUGAUCGACUCGAAGGCAGGAGAGGGUAGUGGAAUUCCCGGUGUAGUGGUGAAAUGCGUAGAUAUCGGGAGGAACACCAGUGGCGAAGGCGACUACCUGGCCUGUUCUUGACGCUGAGGCGCGAAAGCUAGGGGAGCAAACGGG
RNAcentral lists this ribosomal RNA (253 nucleotides) under uncultured bacterium. RNAcentral's name for it is "partial 16S ribosomal RNA". It matches the Rfam family "Bacterial small subunit ribosomal RNA", at positions 524 to 776 of the family's 1533-position model. The record is from RNAcentral.